Molecule: long non-coding RNA, 300 nt
Organism: Pomacea canaliculata
Lineage: Eukaryota; Metazoa; Mollusca; Gastropoda; Architaenioglossa; Ampullariidae
Exons: 3
Source: RefSeq, a predicted model, not a curated record
CGAGGAGACAGUGAGAUGAAACUUCUGAGUGAAAGUAAAGCAAACAGCGCGGUGGAUUGUGCAUACUCUAGUCUACACCAAGGUAUGACAAGUUCUGACUACUUCAUUAUAUUUCUAGGAAGGGCACAUUGAUCCAGGAGAAAAGACACACCCUAAAGUCACACUGCAAGUCAUCCCAAUCAAUUGUUCUUCCUGCCAGAAAAUUGUGUUGUUCUGACAAGACACACCACAGUAUGCUAUGAUGAAUGACCAUGAAUGGGCCAAAAGCUGCUAUAGCACAGAAACGCUAUUUUAGCAACC